Molecule: long non-coding RNA, 342 nt
Filed under: Elaeis guineensis (African oil palm)
Lineage: Eukaryota; Viridiplantae; Streptophyta; Magnoliopsida; Arecales; Arecaceae
Description: long non-coding RNA (EGUI_LNC076136)
Source: RNAcentral
AAAACGAAAACUUUAUCUAACAUUAUUAACUAAUCAAUCAUAAAAGCCUAGAGAAAACGAAAGUUUUAUGCAAUUAUCCUCAGAUCAAAGAUGCCAUACAAAAAGGGGAUUCGUUCGACAAGAUUUAGGAAUUGCACAUAAUUAUUUUUUUGAGGAUCAAACAGACAAAAAAAAAAAAGAAAGAAAAUCAAGAAGAAAGCGCUAGAUUUGGGGAUGAGGGGAAAUUACCUGAUCGUGAUCCUUUGGUUGGAGGAAAAAACUGACGAUUAGUGGAAACCAAAGCGAACGAUGGAAGAAGGGAAAAAGAGUUGACGCCCUGCGAGGAAGUUAGCUAGGUUUUUG